GACGAACGCUGGCGGCGUGCUUAACACAUGCAAGUCGAACGUGAUUUUUAUGGAAAGCCCUUCGGGGACGGAAGUAAAAUGAAAGUGGCGAACGGGUGAGUAACACGUGAGCAACCUACCUUACACAGGGGGAUAGCCGUUGGAAACGACGAUUAAUACCGCAUGAGACCACAAAGCCNCAUGGCUUAGGGGUAAAAGAUUUAUCGGUGUAAGAUGGGCUCGCGUCUGAUUAGCUAGUUGGAAGGGUAAAGGCCUACCAAGGCGACGAUCAGUAGCCGGUCUGAGAGGAUGAACGGCCACAUUGGAACUGAGACACGGUCCAAACUCCUACGGGAGGCAGCAGUGGGGAAUAUUGCACAAUGGGGGGAACCCUGAUGCAGCGACGCCGCGUGAGCGAAGAAGGUUUUCGAAUCGUAAAGCUCUGUCCUAUGAGAAGAUAAUGACGGUAUCAUAGGAGGAAGCCCCGGCUAAAUACGUGCCAGCAGCCGCGGUAAUACGUAUGGGGCGAGCGUUGUCCGGAAUUAUUGGGCGUAAAGGGUACGUAGGCGGCCUUUUAAGUCAGGUGUGAAAGCGUGAGGCUUAACCUCAUUAAGCACUUGAAACUGGAAGGCUUGAGUGAAGGAGAGGAAAGUGGAAUUCCUAGUGUAGCGGUGAAAUGCGUAGAUAUUAGGAGGAAUACCGGUGGCGAAGGCGACUUUCUGGACUUUUACUGACGCUCAGGUACGAAAGCGUGGGGAGCAAACAGG
This 746-nucleotide ribosomal RNA is filed under the name uncultured Parvimonas sp. RNAcentral's name for it is "bacterial SSU rRNA". It matches the Rfam family "Bacterial small subunit ribosomal RNA", at positions 28 to 776 of the family's 1533-position model. The record is from RNAcentral. Lineage: Bacteria; Bacillati; Bacillota; Tissierellia; Tissierellales; Peptoniphilaceae.